UACGGAGGGUGCAAGCGUUAUCCGGAUUCACUGGGUUUAAAGGGAGCGCAGGCGGAUUUGUAAGUCAGUGGUGAAAGCCUUAAGCUUAACUUGGGAACUGCCAUUGAUACUAUAAGUCUUGAAUGUUGUUGAGGUUUGCGGAAUGGGUCAUGUAGCGGUGAAAUGCAUAGAUAUGACCCGGGAACACCUAUUGCGAAGGCAGCAGGCUAAACAAAUAUUGACGCUGAGGCUCGAAAGCGUGGGGAGCGAACAGG
RNAcentral lists this ribosomal RNA (254 nucleotides) under uncultured bacterium. RNAcentral describes it as "partial 16S ribosomal RNA". It matches the Rfam family "Bacterial small subunit ribosomal RNA", at positions 524 to 776 of the family's 1533-position model. The record is from RNAcentral.